UACGGAGGAUCCAAGCGUUAUCCGGAUUUAUUGGGUUUAAAGGGUGCGUAGGCGGCCUAUCAAGUCAGAGGUGAAAGACGGUAGCUUAACUAUCGCAGUGCCUUUGAAACUGGUGGGCUUGAAUGUACUUGAGGUGGGCGGAAUGUGACAAGUAGCGGUGAAAUGCAUAGAUAUGUCACAGAACCCCGAUUGCGAAGGCAGCUCACUAAGUAUGAUUGACGCUGAUGCACGAAAGCGUGGGGAUCAAACAGGAUUAGAUACCCUGGUAGUCCACGCCCUAAACGAUGAAUACUCGAUGUUGGCGAUACACCGUCAGCGUCCACGCGAAAGCAUUAAGUAUUCCACCUGGGGAGUACGUCCGCAAGGAUGAA
Molecule: ribosomal RNA, 371 nt
Filed under: uncultured bacterium
Lineage: Bacteria
Description: bacterial SSU rRNA
Rfam family: Bacterial small subunit ribosomal RNA
Source: RNAcentral